UCGAGGGGCAGCAUCAUCAAAGCUUGCUUUGAUGGAUGGCGACCGGCGCACGGGUGAGUAACACGUAUCCAACCUGCCGACAACACUGGGAUAGCCUUUCGAAAGAAAGAUUAAUACCGGAUGGCAUAGUUUUCCCGCAUGGGAUAAUUAUUAAAGAAUUUCGGUUGUCGAUGGGGAUGCGUUCCAUUAGGCAGUUGGCGGGGUAACGGCCCACCAAACCCACGAUGGAUAGGGGUUCUGAGAGGAAGGUCCCCCACAUUGGAACUGAGACACGGUCCAAACUCCUACGGGAGGCAGCAGUGAGGAAUAUUGGUCAAUGGACGAGAGUCUGAACCAGCCAAGUAGCGUGAAGGAUGACUGCCCUAUGGGUUGUAAACUUCUUUUAUACGGGAAUAAAGUGAGCCACGUGUGGCUUUUUGUAUGUACCGUAUGAAUAAGGAUCGGCUAACUCCGUGCCAGCAGCCGCGGUAAUACGGAGGAUUCGAGCGUUAUCCGGAUUUAUUGGGUUUAAAGGGAGCGUAGGCGGGUUGUUAAGUCAGUUGUGAAAGUUUGCGGCUCAACCGUAAAAUUGCAGUUGAUACUGGCGACCUUGAGUGCAACAGAGGUAGGCGGAAUUCGUGGUGUAGCGGUGAAAUGCUUA
This 640-nucleotide ribosomal RNA is filed under the name uncultured bacterium. RNAcentral's name for it is "bacterial SSU rRNA". It matches the Rfam family "Bacterial small subunit ribosomal RNA", at positions 62 to 692 of the family's 1533-position model. The record is from RNAcentral.